AUGGAGGAUCUUACAGAAUUCACAACAUAUGAUGGAGAAUACCACCCUACUCACAAGCUUUUGCUGGAUCCAGCCAAUUAUGUGGCAAUUGAAGCCGACCUGAUAUUUGCUUGUCUGGCUGGCUUAAGGAGAUCAUCCAAGGAAGAGGUCUUUGAUGAUGUGGAGGACCGCAUAGCUGUGGGCAUCCGUGUUAUGGUGAUCACAGGAGACAACAAAGAAACUACUGAGACGACAUGCCAUGAAAUUGGUGUAUUUUCACCUGAUGAAGACAUUAGCUUGAAGAGCUUUACAGGGAGGGGGUUCAUGGCACUUGAGGAUAAAAAGACACUUCUGCAAAAGAAAUGUGGCCUUCUGUUAUCUAGGGCAGAUCCUAGACACAAACAAGAGAUCAUUAGGCUAUUAAAAGAAGACCGUGCAGUUAUUUCUAUGACUGGAGAUGGAGUAAAUGAUGGCCCUGCUCUAAAACUAGCUGGCAUUGGUAUAGCAAUGGGUAUUCCCGGCACUGUGUACAUUCUUACUCACCACACAACCCCACACCGGAGUGAGAUCCAUAGCAGAGUGAGAAAAGUUUUGGGCCCCUGCGUCACGAAUUGA
Molecule: ribosomal RNA, 594 nt
Filed under: Triticum aestivum (bread wheat)
Lineage: Eukaryota; Viridiplantae; Streptophyta; Magnoliopsida; Poales; Poaceae
Description: partial small subunit ribosomal RNA
Source: RNAcentral